GGUAAAAUGGCUGAGUAUUAGGCAAUAAACUGUAAAUUUAUGAACGAAAUGAAAUUUCUUUUACCA
RNAcentral lists this transfer RNA (66 nucleotides) under Glenea cantor. Its description in RNAcentral is "tRNA-Tyr". The record is from RNAcentral. Lineage: Eukaryota; Metazoa; Arthropoda; Insecta; Coleoptera; Cerambycidae.